Molecule: ribosomal RNA, 433 nt
Filed under: uncultured bacterium
Lineage: Bacteria
Description: partial 16S ribosomal RNA
Rfam family: Bacterial small subunit ribosomal RNA
Source: RNAcentral
AACGAACGCUGGCGGCAUGCCUAACACAUGCAAGUCGAACGAGACCUUCGGGUCUAGUGGCGCACGGGUGCGUAACGCGUGGGAACCUGCCCUUAGGUUCGGAAUAACUCCCCGAAAGGGGUGCUAAUACCGGAUAAUGUCUUCGGACCAAAGAUUUAUCGCCUUUGGAUGGGCCCGCGUUGGAUUAGCUAGUUGGUAGGGUAAAAGCCUACCAAGGCGACGAUCCAUAGCUGGUCUGAGAGGAUGAUCAGCCACACUGGGACUGAGACACGGCCCAGACUCCUAAGGGAGGCAGCAGUGGGGAAUAUUGGACAAGGGGCGAAAGCCUGAUCCAGCAAUGCCGCGUGAGGGAUGAAGGCCUUAGGGUUGUAAAGCUCUUUUAACCGGGAUGAUAAUGACAGUACCGGGAGAAUAAGCUCCGGCUAACUCCGUG